Molecule: small nucleolar RNA, 69 nt
Filed under: Caenorhabditis japonica
Lineage: Eukaryota; Metazoa; Nematoda; Chromadorea; Rhabditida; Rhabditidae
Description: snoRNA CJA49049
Source: RNAcentral
GCAGCUGUGAUGAAAUGAAACAAUAGAAGGGCAUGCCGCUCUAUUAGACUUUUUACGGUACAUGGCUAU